This 658-nucleotide long non-coding RNA is filed under the name Trifolium pratense (red clover). Its description in RNAcentral is "long non-coding RNA (TPRA_LNC011472)". The record is from RNAcentral. Lineage: Eukaryota; Viridiplantae; Streptophyta; Magnoliopsida; Fabales; Fabaceae.
AAUUUUCUAAGUCCUAUGGUGAAUGUAUGGUAGUGGACAAUAAAUCCUACUAUGUAAGGAUAUGCUAUAAAUAGGACUAUCAUGUACUUUUCAAAGAACUUGGAAUAUAAUCUAAUUUGAGAGAGUUUCUCUUGUGAGAACUUUUGUUUUGUUCUUGUGAUAAGAACAUUGUUCUUGAGAUAAGAACUUUAUAGUGUUGGUUCUGCCGGCAGGUCGCGGUUAGGGUCGCACUUUCUUUGAUAACUUUGGUUCUACCGGCAGGUCGCGGUUAGGGUCAAGUUCCUUUAUAUCUUGAUAACUUUGGUUCUACCGGCAGGUCGCGGUUAGGGUCAAGUUCCUCUUUUACCUGUUUUCAAGACGAUCCUAAACAGUCGCUUAUCAGUUGGUAUCAGAGCUUCGGCUCUUGAAAUCAGGUUUUAUCUAUCCUUUUUUUUUCUUGUUAAAAAAAAAAGAGUUGAAAAAAAAAUAUGGAGGAAGAAAAGCAUGUCUCCAUGAAACAUUUGGAGAAGUUAUUAUUUCAAGAAUUUCAAAAGCUUCAUGAAAAGUUUGAUCGUAUAGAGAGGAAUUAUAGAAACAAUUAUAAAAAAAGAGGAGGAGAAAAGGAGAUAGAAGAUAGAAAAAUGAAAAGUGAGGGACAAACAAAAAAACAUAUUGCAAA